AGAGUUUGAUCCUGGCUCAGGAUGAACGCUGGCGGCGUGCUUAACACAUGCAAGUCGAACGAUCCUUCGGGAUAGUGGCGGACGGGUGAGUAACGCGUGGGAAUCUGCCCUCAGGAGGGGGAUAACGGCUGGAAACGGCCGCUAAUACCCCAUAUGCCGAGAGGUGAAAUGAAUUUCGCCUGAGGAUGAGCCCGCGUCUGAUUAGCUAGUUGGUGGGGUAAUGGCCUACCAAGGCAACGAUCAGUAGCUGGUCUGAGAGGAUGAUCAGCCACACUGGGACUGAGACACGGCCCAGACUCCUACGGGAGGCAGCAGUGGGGAAUUUUCCGCAAUGGGCGAAAGCCUGACGGAGCAACGCCGCGUGAGGGAUGAAGGCCUCUGGGCUGUAAACCUCUUUUCUCAAGGAAGAAGACCUGACGGUACUUGAGGAAUAAGCCACGGCUAAUUCCGUGCCAGCAGCCGCGGUAAUACGGGAGUGGCAAGCGUUAUCCGGAAUUAUUGGGCGUAAAGCGUCCGCAGGCGGCCUUGUAAGUCUGUUGUUAAAGCGUGGAGCUCAACUCCAUUUAAGCAAUGGAAACUACAAGGCUGGAGUGUGGUAGGGGCAGAGGGAAUUCCCGGUGUAUCGGUGAAAUGCGUAGAUAUCGGGAAGAACACCAGUGGCGAAGGCGCUCUGCUGGGCCAUAACUGACGCUCAUGGACGAAAGCCAGGGGAGCGAAAGGGAUUAGAUACCCCUGUAGUCCUGGCCGUAAACGAUGAACACUAGGUGUCGGGGGAAUCGACCCCCUCGGUGUCGUAGCCAACGCGUUAAGUGUUCCGCCUGGGGAGUACGCACGCAAGUGUGAAACUCAAAGGAAUUGACGGGGGCCCGCACAAGCGGUGGAGUAUGUGGUUUAAUUCGAUGCAACGCGAAGAACCUUACCAGGGUUUGACAUCCUGCGAACCCCUGAGAAAUCGGGGGGUGCCUUCGGGAGCGCAGAGACAGGUGGUGCAUGGCUGUCGUCAGCUCGUGUCGUGAGAUGUUGGGUUAAGUCCCGCAACGAGCGCAACCCACGUCUUUAGUUGCCAGCAUUCAGUUGGGCACUCUAGAGAGACCGCCGGUGAUAAACCGGAGGAAGGUGUGGAUGAUGUCAAGUCAUCAUGCCCCUUACAUCCUGGGCUACACACGUACUACAAUGCUACGGACAAAGGGCAGCAAGCUCGCGAGAGUUAGCAAAUCCCAUAAACCGUGGCUCAGUUCAGAUCGUAGGCUGCAACUCGCCUACGUGAAGGAGGAAUCGCUAGUAAUCGCAGGUCAGCAUACUGCGGUGAAUACGUUCCCGGGCCUUGUACACACCGCCCGUCACACCAUGGAAGUUGGCCAUGCCCGAAGUCGUUACUCCAACCCUUGUGGAGGAGGACGCCGAAGGUGGGGCUGAUGACUG
Molecule: ribosomal RNA, 1422 nt
Filed under: metagenome
Description: bacterial SSU rRNA
Rfam family: Bacterial small subunit ribosomal RNA
Source: RNAcentral